This 474-nucleotide ribosomal RNA is filed under the name uncultured bacterium. RNAcentral describes it as "SSU rRNA". It matches the Rfam family "Bacterial small subunit ribosomal RNA", at positions 27 to 518 of the family's 1533-position model. The record is from RNAcentral.
GGGACGAACGCUGGCGGCGUGCUUAACACAUGCAAGUCGAACGAUGAACCACUUCGGUGGGGAUUAGUGGCGAACGGGUGAGUAACACGUGGGCAAUCUGCCCUUCACUCUGGGACAAGCCCUGGAAACGGGGUCUAAUACCGGAUAGCACUUCCACUCGCAUGGGUGGAGGUUAAAAGCUCCGGCGGUGAAGGAUGAGCCCGCGGCCUAUCAGCUUGUUGGUGAGGUAAUGGCUCACCAAGGCGACGACGGGUAGCCGGCCUGAGAGGGCGACCGGCCACGACUGGGACUGAGACACGGCCCAGACUCCUACGGGAGGCAGCAGUGGGGAAUAUUGCACAAUGGGCGAAAGCCUGAUGCAGCGACGCCGCGUGAGGGAUGACGGCCUUCGGGUUGUAAACCUCUUUCAGCAGGAGAAGCGAAGUGACGGUACCUGCAGAAGAAGCGCCGGCUAACGUACGUGCCAGCAGCCGC